Molecule: ribosomal RNA, 492 nt
Filed under: uncultured bacterium
Lineage: Bacteria
Description: partial 16S ribosomal RNA
Rfam family: Bacterial small subunit ribosomal RNA
Source: RNAcentral
AGUGAACGCUGGCGGUAGGCCUAACACAUGCAAGUCGAACGGCAGCACAGUAAGAGCUUGCUCUUACGGGUGGCGAGUGGCGGACGGGUGAGGAAUACAUCGGAAUCUACUUUUUCGUGGGGGAUAACGUAGGGAAACUUACGCUAAUACCGCAUACGACCUACGGGUGAAAGCAGGGGAUCUUCGGACCUUGCGCGAUUGAAUGAGCCGAUGUCGGAUUAGCUAGUUGGCGGGGUAAAGGCCCACCAAGGCGACGAUCCGUAGCUGGUCUGAGAGGAUGAUCAGCCACACUGGAACUGAGACACGGUCCAGACUCCUACGGGCGGCCGCAGUGGGCAAUAUUGGACAAUGGGCGCAAGCCUGAUCCAGCCAUACCGCGUGGGUGAAGAAGGCCUUCGGGUUGUAAAGCCCUUUUGUUGGGAAAGAAAAGCAGCAGGUUAAGACCCCGCUGUUCUGACGGUACCCAAAGAAUAAGCACCGGCUAACUUCGUG